CAGAACGAACGCUGGCGGCAUGCCUAACACAUGCAAGUCGAACGAAGCCUUCGGGCUUAGUGGCGCACGGGUGCGUAACGCGUGGGAAUCUGCCCUUGGGUUCGGAAUAACAGUUAGAAAUGACUGCUAAUACCGAAUGAUGUCUUCGGACCAAAGAUUUAUCGCCCAAGGAUGAGCCCGCGUCGGAUUAGCUAGUUGGUGAGGUAAAGGCUCACCAAGGCGACGAUCCGUAGCUGGUCUGAGAGGAUGAUCAGCCACACUGGGACUGAGACACGGCCCAGACUCCUACGGGAGGCAGCAGUGGGGAAUAUUGGACAAUGGGCGAAAGCCUGAUCCAGCAAUGCCGCGUGAGUGAUGAAGGCCUUAGGGUUGUAAAGCUCUUUUACCCGGGAUGAUAAUGACAGUACCGGGAGAAUAAGCCCCGGCUAACUCCGUG
RNAcentral lists this ribosomal RNA (436 nucleotides) under uncultured bacterium. RNAcentral's name for it is "bacterial SSU rRNA". It matches the Rfam family "Bacterial small subunit ribosomal RNA", at positions 25 to 507 of the family's 1533-position model. The record is from RNAcentral.